This 253-nucleotide ribosomal RNA is filed under the name uncultured bacterium. RNAcentral describes it as "partial 16S ribosomal RNA". It matches the Rfam family "Bacterial small subunit ribosomal RNA", at positions 524 to 776 of the family's 1533-position model. The record is from RNAcentral.
UACGUAGGGUGCAAGCGUUGUCCGGAAUUAUUGGGCGUAAAGAGCUCGUAGGCGGUCUGUUGCGUCGGCUGUGAAAACCCGAGGCUCAACCUCGGGCCUGCAGCCGAUACGGGCAGACUAGAGUUCGGCAGGGGAGACUGGAAUUCCAGGUGUAGCGGUGAAAUGCGUAGAUAUCUGGAGGAACACCGGUGGCGAAGGCGGCGUUCUGGACUGCAACUGACACUGAGGAACGAAAGCCAGGGGAGCAAACGGG